RNAcentral lists this ribosomal RNA (592 nucleotides) under uncultured bacterium. RNAcentral's name for it is "bacterial SSU rRNA". It matches the Rfam family "Bacterial small subunit ribosomal RNA", at positions 338 to 916 of the family's 1533-position model. The record is from RNAcentral.
CCUACGGGAGGCAGCAGUGGGGAAUUUUGGACAAUGGGGGCAACCCUGAUCCAGCAAUGCCGCGUGAGUGAAGAAGGCCUUCGGGUUGUAAAGCUCUUUUGUCAGGGAAGAAACGGUGAUCUCUAAUACAGAUUACUAAUGACGGUACCUGAAGAAUAAGCACCGGCUAACUACGUGCCAGCAGCCGCGGUAAUACGUAGGGUGCAAGCGUUAAAUCGGAAUUACUGGGCGUAAAGCGUGCGCAGGCGGUUAUAUAAGUCAGAUGUGAAAUCCCCGGGCUCAACCUGGGAACUGCAUUUGAGACUGUAUGGCUAGAGUGUGUCAGAGGGGGGUAGAAUUCCACGUGUAGCAGUGAAAUGCGUAGAUAUGUGGAGGAAUACCGAUGGCGAAGGCAGCCCCCUGGGGAUAACACUGACGCUCAUGCACGAAAGCGUAGGGGAGCAAACAGGAUUAGAUACCCUGGUAGUCCACGCCCUAAACGAUGUCUACUAGUUGUCGGGUCUUAAUUGACUUGGUAACGCAGCUAACGCGUGAAAGUAGACCGCCUGGGGAAGCGAGGUUCGCAAGAUUAAAACGUCAAAGGAUUGGACGG